This is a long non-coding RNA of Micropterus salmoides (largemouth bass), 1275 nucleotides long. RefSeq lists it as uncharacterized. The transcript is spliced from 2 exons. The record is from RefSeq and is a predicted model, not a curated record. Lineage: Eukaryota; Metazoa; Chordata; Actinopteri; Centrarchiformes; Centrarchidae.
ACUUUAUUUUCGUGCUGUAUUGGAAAUGCCGUCAAUAAAUUGGUUUGGACUGUGCUGUCAGUUGUUUGUCCUUUUGAAUUGACCCAGAAAAACGUUAUUCAGUCUCUGAAGAUAGCAAUAAGCUCAGCUUCAUGCUAUUUAAAUGAAAGCAAAUGUAAACAUGAAUUAACUUUCUGAAUUGCGACGCUUGAAACACAAACUUGAAGCUGUUCUUGCAGGAUGUUGGUUAAUGUUAGCAGAGUCCUGUCUCAGUAGAACAGGCUUAAACCAGACACAGGCCUGGCAGCUGAAGCUCCUACUGAACUGCUGAGGAAUUUGACUUUCUGAGUACAGGUGGUGUUAACAUGGAAGUUGUGGUUCAUCGUGAUAUGAAGCAUAUAUAACCAUGGGCAUGUUUGUGCAAGGCUACAGAGCCUCCACCAGUAUCAGUCAGUAAUUACACUGUACAUGCACAACAAUGUUACUGGACAUGUUUACUUGGAAGAGUCUCUUUUGUGUUAUGACUGAAUUUAAACCAUCAGUGUAAACCAUAGGCCUACUGUGCAGUCAGACAUUGUUCAGACCCACAGAACAUUAUUUUAAAUUCUCCACAAGUUUCAAAAUAAUGAUGCAGCCACAAAAACAUAGUUCUGAUUUUUUUUCACUCCGUAUCAACAUUUAUACUGUAGUGCUGAAGAUGAUGUAUACAUUGAUAACGUAAGAUGGUGUAGAAUAAAUAAAAUAUUUUUUCAGUGGAAGAAAAUAAAAAAGGAUAAAAUAUAUACAAGUUGGGCAAUGUGUAAAGACUAAAUAUGAGAGCAGUAUUGUUCCUGAAUUGGUAGAGAAUUCCAUAAUUUUUCCCCUUUUACUGAAAAAGAAGCCUGGGCAAAUGAUGUUUUUCGAAAAGGGAUACUACAAUUGCCUUUUGACGCUGAUCGGGUGAUGGAUCUGGUACUUUGCUGUCUUGUUGUUUUGCAAAGUGGUGGUGGAGCAGUGUCAUUUUAAACUGUAUGAGAGAGUGUUAGAACCUGCUUUGAUUAACCUCAGUGUUGACCCUGUAGGACUCCCACCCCACCUAAAGACACAUCAUCUUCAGAAAUAAACGUAACAGUAUGAUGCUGAUUAUCGGAAAGCUUAAACAAGGAUAGAUACUACUUUACAGCUCCUGAAGAAGUCCUGUUGAGCCUGCUAUUGGUUAAGAAACAGCACUUUUGUUUCACCUAAAAUAUUACUUCAGUUUUUCCAUUUGCUUAUCAUCCCAUGGCUGAAAAUUAAAAUGAAAUUAAGGAAGCCCAA